GUGUCAACCAACACAGAUGUUUUUCUUUCUUCAUAUAAUGAAGAUCAGGAAUCCAAACUUAUUUGAAAAGCUGAAAAGACACCAUUAAUCCCACUGGAAUAGCAGGUUUUGCAGCAAUUGUUGCACAUGGAUUAACAAAUUGAAGAUCAGGGGAAAUAUUAAAAUGUCCCUUCACCUGAUCCACAUGUGUAUGGCAGCCCAAGGCUUUGUAAUGGGAGCAAUGACUCCUGGUAUGGGCUAUUCCCUAUAUUGGGAAUUCUGGGCAAAACCUAAGCCUUAG
This 280-nucleotide long non-coding RNA is filed under the name Homo sapiens (human). RNAcentral's name for it is "non-protein coding lnc-SNAP25-6:1". Lineage: Eukaryota; Metazoa; Chordata; Mammalia; Primates; Hominidae. The record is from RNAcentral.